This is a non-coding RNA of Punica granatum (pomegranate), 2632 nucleotides long. The record is from RefSeq and is a predicted model, not a curated record. Lineage: Eukaryota; Viridiplantae; Streptophyta; Magnoliopsida; Myrtales; Lythraceae.
UCACUUCCCAAAUCCCGCGUCUCUCCCUUCCUCUCUCUCUCUCUCUCUCUCUCUCUCUGGAUUCCUCUUCCAAUCAAAUCGUCCCAAUCUCUCUCUCUCUCUAGAAAUUUCCUGCCCCCUCACACUGCGUCCACCUCACUCACUCUCUUUCUCUUCCGGAAAUGGCGUUUGCACGAGAGUAGUGGAGCAUGAGCUGCCACCUCCGCUCAAUGCGCAAUCCUCACACCGGUCCAUCAGCUGAAUCCCUUCCGACAUCCAGAGGGUGAAUUUCGGAGUACUGUUGUUUUCGCUCUCCGUGCUUGCGGUUCUUGGUGUUGUUGCUUCCCGAGAGAUGCCGAGAUAACGCUGAUAUGAGCCAGGCUGAAGGGUCGAGGAUGAAGCUGCCUCUCGUCCCGCUCGCGACCCUCAUCGGCCGCGAGCUCCGGAAGGAGAAGGUUGAUAAGCCCUAUGUGAAGUAUGGACAGGCUGCUUUGGCGAAAAAGGGGGAGGAUUACUUCCUCGUAAAAACUGAUUGCCAGAGGAUCCCUGGGAAUCCGUCGACAUCGUUUUCUGUAUUUUCAAUAUUUGAUGGGCAUAAUGGCAUAUCGGCUGCUAUAUUCACAAAGGAGAAUCUACUUGGAAAUGUUUUAAGUGCGAUUCCUCAAGGUGCUACGAGGGAAGAGUGGCUUCAAGCUCUUCCCCGAGCACUAGUGGCGGGUUUUGUGAAGACCGACAUAGAAUUUCAGCAGAGAGGUGAAACUUCCGGGACAACAGUUACAUUUGUUGUCAUUGAUGGUUGGACUAUAACAGUUGCCUCUGUGGGGGAUUCCCGUUGCAUAUUGGACACACAGGGAGGCGUGGUUUCUCUCUUGACGGUCGACCAUAGGCUGGAAGAGAAUGCAGAAGAAAGGGAACGUGUCACAGCAAGUGGCGGUGAAGUGGGAAGACUCAAUAUCUUUGGUGGAAAUGAGGUUGGUCCCCUUCGCUGCUGGCCCGGUGGGCUAUGCCUUUCAAGGUCAAUAGGUGACACAGAUGUGGGGGAGUUUAUUGUCCCAAUACCACAUGUUAAACAAGUGAAGCUUUCAAAUGCGGGGGGAAGGCUUAUAAUAGCAUCUGAUGGUAUUUGGGAUGCUUUGUCUUCUGAUAUGGCUGCAAAAGCUUGUCAGGGUGUGCCUGCGGAGCUCGCUGCAAAAUUGGUGGUCAAGGAGGCUCUUCGAUCGAGAGGCUUGAAGGAUGAUACGACCUGCCUGGUUGUUGACCUUAUCCCUUCUGAUCUUCCUGUAUUACCUCCGAUAACACCCAGAAAGAAACCAAAUUUGCUUGGUUCACUCUUCUUUGUAAAGAAGUCCCAGAAUUCCUCAAGCAAAGCUACAAAGAAAACUCUUUCUGCUCUUGGGUUAGUGGAAGAGUUGUUCGAAGAGGGCUCUGCUAUGCUCGCUGAGAGGUUGGGAAAAGACUUUCAUUCUGGGAAAGACUCGGGGAUUUUCAAAUGUGCGGUGUGCCAAGCAGAUCAAUCUCCUUCUGAUAACAAACCAGCAAAUUCUGGCCCCACAUUACAAACUCCAUCGAAGCGGUGGGAAGGCCCUUUCCUCUGCACAAAUUGUCAGAGAAAGAAAGACGCCAUGGAGGGAAAGAGACCAAAUACACCUACAGUGGCUGCAUAGAGAAAACCAAUCCUGAAAAUAUAGUGAAGGGAUGAUCGAUGAAGAGAAGAGAGAGGGGAAUGGGGGCGGCCAGAGCUUUGUCGGCGGCUACCCUCCCUCGGCAAGGUCAACUACGACCUCUGAAGUCACCGACAACCUCUCUGGGGAAGGGGUGGCUGCCAGUGAGGUCCCAUCCCCCAACGAGGUCAAGGUUGGAUAUUCAUGGGGAAAAGGGCCUCGUUGGACUGAAAUUCCAUUGUCACCCUUGCCCCGACGAGGCUGGGAUCAUUGACGGCCUCGACGGGGAUGGGGUUGCUGUCGUGAAGGGAAGGUCGACGAAGAGAAGAGUGAGGAGGAUGGGGCGACCAAAGCCUCGUCGGCGGCCACCCUCUGCUGACAAGGUCACUUACGACCUUUGGAGUCACCAGCAACCUCUCGGGGGGAGAGGUGGCUGCCAGUAAGGCCCCAUCCCCCAAUGAGGUCGAGGUUGGGUAUUCUUGGGGGAAGGGGCCUCAUUGGAUUGAAAUUCCGUUGUCACCCCAACCUCGAGACUAGGAUCACUGAUGACCUCGACGGGGAUGGGAUUGCUGCCGAUCAAAUGUCAUCCAAAUCUCCAUCGCCAACACCAACAUCAUCUAAGCACAACAGAGCAGCAGCAGAGAGCUCGAAGCAGACGCCGUGUUCAAAGGACGAUGAUUACAAUCGGUAAUUUCAACCAAAGGAGGAAGGACGACAAUUACAAUCGACAAUUUGAGCGGGGAAUGAAGGCAAUUUCAACAAGAGAAAACAAGAUUUGAGCAAUGGGAGAAGCUAAGGCUGGAUUCUUUUCUUUCUUCUAGAAUUGAGACUUCGACAGAGCUCAGAAGUCAUGAAUCGAUUCUCCAUUCAUUCGUCAAUCAAUAGAAGAGGAAAAAGUAAUCUAGCCGGGCUACUUUAUGAGCCGAACAAUUGGACUGGGCUUGAUCCAAUUUUUAGUUUUGAGCCUAAUGUAGAAUAGGUAAAAUUGCACC